RNAcentral lists this ribosomal RNA (377 nucleotides) under uncultured eukaryote. RNAcentral's name for it is "partial 18S ribosomal RNA". It matches the Rfam family "Eukaryotic small subunit ribosomal RNA", at positions 592 to 976 of the family's 1831-position model. The record is from RNAcentral.
CAAUAGCGUAUAUUUAAGUUGCUGCAGUUAAGAAGCUCGUAGUUGGAUUUCGGGUGGGAAUGGCCGGUCCGCCGUUUCGGUGUGCACUUGCUACGCCCACCUUGCUGCCGGGGACGUGCUCUUGAGUUCACGCUCGGGACACGGAGUCGGCGAGGUUACUUUGAGUAAAUUAGAGUGUUCAAAGCAGGCCUACGCUCUGAAUACAUUAGCAUGGAAUAACACGAUAGGACUCUGGCCUAUCUUGUUGGUCUGUAGGACCGGAGUAAUGAUUAAGAGGGACAGUCGGGGGCAUUCGUAUUUCAUUGUCAGAGGUGAAAUUCUUGGAUUUAUGAAAGACGAACUACUGCGAAAGCAUUUGCCAAGGAUGUUUUCAUUGA